GAUGAAGAACGCAGCGAAAUGCGAAAAGUAGUGUGAAUUGCAGAAUUCCGUGAAUCAUCGAAUCUUUGAACGCACAUUGCGCCACUCGGUAUUCCGUGGGGCAUGCCUGUUCGAGCGUCAUUUACACCCUCAAGCUCUGCUUGGUGUUGGGCGUCUGUCCCGCUUUAUGCGUGGACUCGCCCCAAAGUCAUUGGCAGCGGUCGUGCCAGCUUCUCGCGCAGCACAUUUGCGUUUCUUGAAGUUUGGUGGAUCAGCAUCCAGUAAGUUCUUUUAUGACUUGACCUCGGAUCAGGUAGGGAUACCCGCUGAACUUAAGCAUAUCAAUAAGCGGAGGA
Molecule: unclassified non-coding RNA, 335 nt
Filed under: soil metagenome
Description: partial contains 5.8S ribosomal RNA, internal transcribed spacer 2, and large subunit ribosomal RNA
Rfam family: 5.8S ribosomal RNA (bases 1-120)
Source: RNAcentral